UAGAACCCUUCCUCUCCCCUCCUCCCUUCCUCCGCCCCCCUCUUUGAUAAAUCCAAAUUCGGGUUUCCAUUUGAUGCGUAAUUGUGUUCGUAGUACAUGUUUUUAGUUGAUUACAGGCCUCACCAUGAAAGCUUUGAGACUUCUUCAAAUACUUACUACUCGCUCUUCAAGAACCUCUCAUCUCAACCCCACCUUCCUGUUUCGAUUCUACGCAUCCCAACCCCUACAAGAAAACCCAGUACUCGAAAUCGAAGAAAGUCGCACAACCGACAACAAUGGCUUCGGCUUCGACAGCAGUCAUUACGAAUUACCAGACACGAAUCUGGGUUUAGGAUCGAAUGAGGCCGAGACACCUGCCGGUAAUAGAGAAUCCACUUGGGAUGAAAAGUAUCGGCGAAAAGCUAACAGAAGUAUAUUCGGAGAAGAGCAUGAAAAAUUGGUUAAGGACAAGAAAAGCAAGAAGAAGAGUAGGAGUGAAAGGAUGAUGGAGCAGGAAGAGAAAAGGCGUCGGACUGCGAUUCUUUCUAAGGCUUUGCUCGAAGCUGCAGUGGCUGCAACCGACGAUGAUGAAGAGGAAGAUGCUAAUGAGGUGGUGAAGGUGGAAGAUCAGUUGUCUUUAUCAGUUGGGAUAAUUGGAGCUCCUAAUGCUGGAAAAUCUGCUCUCACUAAUUUCAUGGUUGGGACGAAGGUUGCUGCUGUUUCACGGAAGACGAACACAACUACGCAUGAAGUAUUAGGAGUAAUGACGCAAGGAAAAACACAAAUAUGUUUCUUUGACACCCCGGGUCUUAUUAUGAGAAGUAAUGGACUUCCAAAAUCUGACAUUAAAGUUCGAGUUGAAAGUGCAUGGAGUUCAGUGAAUCUUUAUGACAUGCUCGUUGUUAUAUUUGAUGUUCAUAGACAUCUUACCAGGCCUGAUAAAAGAGUGGUUAAACUUAUUAAACAAAUGGGUUCACAAGUCAAUCCAAAACAAAAACGCAUAUUAUGCAUGAAUAAAGUAGACUUGGUAGAGAAAAAGAAAGAUCUGUUGAAGGUUGCUGAGCAGUUCAAUGAUCUUCCUGGAUAUGAAAGGUAUUUCAUGAUUUCUGGGCUAAAGGGUUCAGGAGUCAAAGAUCUUACGCAAUAUUUGAUGGAACAGGCAGUUAAAAGACCAUGGGAUGAAGAUCCUCUCAUCAUGACUGAAGAUGUCAUGAAGAACAUAUCACUAGAAGUUGUUAGGGAAAAGUUUCUAGACCAUGUGCAUCAGGAGAUUCCAUAUGAUGUUGAACAUAGAUUAAUAGAUUGGAAGGAAUUGCGCGAUGGUUCUGUAAGGAUUGAACAGCAUCUUAUCACUAACAAAGUCAGCCAGCGUAAAAUUAUAGUCGGAAAGAAUGGUUCUAAAAUAGGGAGAAUAGGUGUUGAAGCCAACGAAGAGCUGAGAUCCAUAUUUAAACGGAAUGUCCAUCUCAUCCUUUUGGUUAGACUCAAAUGACGGAAUCCCGAACAAUAACGAGUCACUUGUCAACCAUACACUCUCUUUCUACCAGCACCUAGGCCUGCGGUUAUUCAGCUAAAUGACUUUCUGCCAAGUGUUUUUCAAAUCCACGACUUUCUGACAAGUUUCUAGCAUUUCUUUGUAUAGAAGGGCGAUUGAUCUAUUAAGCAGUGAUAUUCUCAAACCUAUCGAAAGAUGAUUGAUUCAAAAAGAACUUGACAGAAGGUCAUUUAUGUAACUGCUCCCUUCUACUUGAAGAUUUAAGAACAAAAGGCCAAGCUGUUUCUAUUUGGAACUCUUGCAGGAUUGACAUUUUUGGGUGCCAAGAUCUGUUGGAUUAGAUGAAUCUACCUAUUCAGAAAGGAAUAGUUUCAUGGUACCCCCUUUCCGUUUUUACGUUUUCUUUUGCACCUCCAAGUCUUAGAAAAAGACCAUCAACGAUAACGUGGCUUUCGUAUGUUAAAGUCCACGUACCAGAAACUAGAAAAGGUUAUGUAUGAUUGUGGAGCGGUUUGUACCAACCGGUUAUGGGGAUUUUUAAGAAAUCGGUUAUGGACCGAGUCCAUAAUAUGAUGGUAACGAACCUGCCUUUUUCUUUUCUUCUGAAUUUUCGAUCUUGCAUGUGGCAACCAUUCAUUGGGCAGGCGAAGAGAAGCGUAAGAACGAAGCAGGACCCUUGAUCACCUUUAAUCUCAAACCCACCCAUGAAUUGUGUUUGACACGUUGAUUGAACUAAGUGCAUCUCAUCUUAAUGUACAUCCAAGGGUGGAGAUCGCUUCUUAUGCUUCCCACCUUUUAACUCUUUGUUCUCACAGGAACCCAACCUUUAUUGGACAACAGACAUACUGUCUUUAUGCCUUUUUUCUGUCUGUUUUUAGUUGCUACUAUCCAUUUGC
This is an RNA transcript of Cynara cardunculus var. scolymus (artichoke), 2370 nucleotides long. It is a transcript of the gene named GTP-binding protein ERG, with no coding region annotated. NCBI's taxonomy places the organism in Eukaryota, Viridiplantae, Streptophyta, Magnoliopsida, Asterales, Asteraceae. The record is from RefSeq and is a predicted model, not a curated record. The transcript has 9 exons.